GCCGAUGUAGCUCAGUUGGUAGAGCAGCUGAUUUGUAAUCAGCCGGUCGGCGGUUCGAGUCCGUUCAUCGGCUCCA
This 76-nucleotide transfer RNA is filed under the name Bacteroidetes bacterium ADurb.Bin028. RNAcentral describes it as "tRNA-Thr". It matches the Rfam family "tRNA". From Rfam's summary of the family: Transfer RNA (tRNA) molecules are approximately 80 nucleotides in length. Their secondary structure includes four short double-helical elements and three loops (D, anti-codon, and T loops). RNAcentral also lists the same sequence under 2 other names. Lineage: Bacteria; Pseudomonadati; Bacteroidota. The record is from RNAcentral.